Ricinus communis (castor bean) is the source of this 501-nucleotide long non-coding RNA. RefSeq lists it as uncharacterized. The transcript is spliced from 2 exons. The record is from RefSeq and is a predicted model, not a curated record. NCBI's taxonomy places the organism in Eukaryota, Viridiplantae, Streptophyta, Magnoliopsida, Malpighiales, Euphorbiaceae.
UAUCAUGAUUCGGUAAACAUCCAUUCCUUAAGGAUUACCCUUAAGAUUAUUUCUACUAUUUGAUUCUAUUAACGGCUACGGACCACGCCUUAUAGGGACUAGUGACCAUUCUCAUUUUUGCCAUGGCACUUUCUUUGAUGCUACCAGGUGAUGCACGCACAAUUGAUCCAGGCCUUGGUGGAUUCAGGCCUAAAUAUUGCCCAACUUGUCUUUGUGCGGCACCUCCACCACCAGGUUCCUGCUGCAAGUGCCGUGGCGGAAGUGCUAUUUCUACUGUGGCCCCGGCUACUAAGGGCUCUCCCUAGUUUGCCUUCUUAAGAUGCUUCUGAGACCUGAAUAAGUCAUUAGCGGAGUAAUAAGAGAGUCUCGUGGUCCAGUUGGCAUAUAUAUAUAUAUAUAUAUAUUUCAUUUCUGUAAGAUACUUCAUGUUUAUGGUAUGAGAAAUAACAGUAUCGGUUCCAAGUACUGGUUUUUAUUUAAAUAAAUGUUUUUUUUAUUAUU